Molecule: ribosomal RNA, 229 nt
Filed under: uncultured bacterium
Lineage: Bacteria
Description: partial 16S ribosomal RNA
Rfam family: Bacterial small subunit ribosomal RNA
Source: RNAcentral
UCCGUAGGCGGGCAGCUAAGUCAGUGGUGAAAGUCUGCAGCUCAACUGUAGAAUUGCCAUUGAUACUGGUUGUCUUGAAUUAUUAUGAAGUGGUUAGAAUAUGUAGUGUAGCGGUGAAAUGCAUAGAUAUUACAUAGAAUACCAAUUGCGAAGGCAGAUCACUAAUAAUAUAUUGACGCUGAGGGACGAAAGCGUGGGGAGCGAACAGGAUUAGAUACCCGAGUAGUCC